This 1027-nucleotide long non-coding RNA is filed under the name Equus asinus (donkey). RNAcentral's name for it is "lncRNA (ENSEASG00005032384.1)". Lineage: Eukaryota; Metazoa; Chordata; Mammalia; Perissodactyla; Equidae. The record is from RNAcentral.
CAGAAGUGUCAUGUAAGAGUUUCCAAGAACUUUUGCGGGAGGGAGCUGGCACACAUCCUUUGCCCCUUUUCUUUUGCUUCUUUCUCCAUCCUACAGCCUAGAACACAGAUGUGAUGGCUCCAUCGUGGACCAUGAAGGGACUCAAGAAGUCAGCCAAGCCCACGGUCUUUGAACUCUUCACUCUUGCCAUAACGAUUUAUUACCAUAGCCACUUGGCCUUCUAACAUUUUGGAUUCCAUAGAUACAAUUUUUUCCCCAGUUCUGCAGAACAGUCAAGCACACUGGGAAUGGAUGUGGAGUGAGUCAAUCCAGAGUGUCCAGCCAACACUCCUCAAUCCAGUACCAGGGGACAGCUCAUCCUUCUGCAACUUGCCAAGAUGUUCAUGCCUCCUUUACAACAUUUCUGCAUUUCCUUCUGCCUUGAAUCUUGUCGCUCUCCCUCGCUCAUUUCCCUGCUGUGAGUCUGUGCUUCUCUCUCAAGAUCCAAAGCAAAUGCCACCCCUGGCAGAGCAAAUCCAUCUGCCUGCUGCGGGAUCCAAUAGCUCUAGGAACAUUCCUCAGUAACUGUCCUUAGGGGAACCGUGCCUAUUGGUUUACAGAUCUCCCUUCUCUGCUAAAAUGUGAGCUCCUCCAGGGCCGGAUUAUGAGCGACUGUCGUGGUAUCUGUGCCCUCCUCUGCAUCCUGUUGUAUUCUCAGUCUGGCACAGAGUAGGGGCUAAGGAAAUGAUUGUUGAACUAGUGAGUAUAGAUAACGGCUCCAGACAAAGCCCCCCCCCCUCUCGGCUGGGAGGGCCGAGAGUAGACUCGGGAGUAGAACUGCCUGUGUGUGGAUCUCGGCUCUCCAUGCACCGCGGGGGCAUCUCGGGCAUGUUACGUGACCUCUCUGUGCCUUAGUUCUCAUCUUUGUUAAAUGAGUCCAAUAACAUCUACAGGGGUAUUGUGGAGAUUAAGCGACACAGUCCCUGUGAAGCAUUUAGUACAGUACCCAGCACGCAGACAGAACUCAAUAAACGUCAGCUAUUACCAG